CUGCGACGAAUCACGAAUUCGACUCGGGCGAAGUCAUCACCCUGCUCCGCCUGGUUGCUGCCGACGAGAACUCGCCCAAACCGGUACCUGCCGACGAGGGGUCGCCGAAGAGAUUAAGGGAGAACCGGCCCAGUGUGAACUCAGAGUCGCUUGCAGCCGCCCAGUCGGUCUGAUGCGCUCCUACUGCUACCUGUAGGCUAUCACCCACUAUCUGUAAAUAUCGUAUAAAGUUUUUCGUUUCUUCUUCGUCUGAGGAACGAGUCCGCCUUUCGUCGUCCACCCCGAAGUCGCAACACCGUGCAUUUCAGAGUAUUCGUUGGUUCUCGCGUACACUUAAGCAUCUACAAUAGUAUUCGGCUCGUGCACUCAAGCUGCUCAGACAAGACUCCUUCGGAAUAGCAUCGAUGACAACAUUAAAGAGAUUCGGCAUAUGUAGACGCGUCUUUUGCCAAACGAUGAAUUCGUAACAGGGAUAACAUUCUGAAAAAAAAUUGCAGUGAAAAAGUAAAAUGACCUAUACGAGUGAUAAUAUUCUUGCUGCAGUAAAAGUCAGGUCUCCUCAGCGAUUUUCGCGUCCACAGGUACCCGAAUCCACUUAAAAUAUGUCGUCGAAUGCGCACAUUAGAGGAAUUCACAGGUUCACCAGAUGAUAAAAUAGCUUUCACAUUUACUAAAUGUAUAAAAGAAGGCAAGUUUUGUCCAUGUUUUAUAAGUAUUGCGCGUGAUAACUGUUGCAUCGUUCACGUCGGUAUGUAUUGGAGUCGCUUUAUGCGUGUGGAAUCAAGGGAGCACAGGAGCAUAACUACACACGUGGGUGCGUGCCUUUCUAUUCCUUUGUGCUUACGAACUGUUAUUUCACCUCAUAUAGGCCUCGAGAUCUGGUUACGCGGCGCCACUGUACCGGUACAUGCAGCGCCACAUGCGCCCAUCCGCGGAGAUUUCAGUUGGGGGCACUACUGUUUACGGCCGCGCCGCGCGCAGCGCUAUGUGUGGAGAUGGCGUUGACGAGUGAUCGGCGUGUGUUGUUUUGCGGCUUUCGAAAAAUAGAAAAUAUCGAUCGCUACUUCAAGAAGAGCUGCUUACGCAUGGGUGCGAAGUUGUGCUAUAGCAAGCACGUUUACGCAGUAAGAGAAGAGUCGGUGAACGCAAGAGGCCCGUCGGACAUCGUCGGCAAAUGUGUCGCCCAGAUGAAAAGCGUGGACUACGAUGUGCGUCUUGAGGUGAGCCAAUCCUUUCUUAAAAAAAAAAAAAGAAGUGCCUCAAUAUCGCUAACCGCUUCAUUUUUUGUUUCUUUUUUAGUUGUCAGUAAAUUGCAGAAAUAUCUUGCACGCAAGCUGUACAUGCAAAGCUGACUGCGGAGGCUGGUGCAAGCACGCCGCGGCCGUGGCGAUAUUCGUAAAUGAAUACGAAUAUACAUAGUGCACGGAUGUUCCAUGCGCAUGGAAGAAAAUAUCAUCGCGUCCCAACGUCGAUGUCAAAAAAUCAAUCAAGGAACUCUUUUCCCGUCGACCUUCGCGAAAACCAAUUCUGCAGACGAUGGCACAAAGAGCGCCGCAUCCGCCUAACAAGUUCCAGUGCCCACAAGGUGAAGACGAGGAGAAGUGAUUUUGAUCGUCUGGCCCAAGCACUAGCUGCACCGAAAUGUUUUUCUACAGCUGAAACUUCAUAUGGUAAGAAUUAAAAUAAGCUAUAUGGGCACCA
This is a long non-coding RNA of Dermacentor andersoni, 1701 nucleotides long. RefSeq lists it as uncharacterized. The record is from RefSeq and is a predicted model, not a curated record. NCBI's taxonomy places the organism in Eukaryota, Metazoa, Arthropoda, Arachnida, Ixodida, Ixodidae.